RNAcentral lists this ribosomal RNA (208 nucleotides) under uncultured bacterium. Its description in RNAcentral is "partial 16S ribosomal RNA". It matches the Rfam family "Bacterial small subunit ribosomal RNA", at positions 1293 to 1500 of the family's 1533-position model. The record is from RNAcentral.
UCGGAUUGUAGUCUGCAACCCGACUACAUGAAGCCGGAAUCGCUAGUAAUCGCGGAUCAGAAUGCCGCGGUGAAUACGUUCCCGGGUCUUGUACACACCGCCCGUCACACCAUGGGAGUCGGAAAUGCCCGAAGUCUGUGACCCAACCGUAAGGAGGGAGCAGCCGAAGGCAGGUCGGAUGACUGGGGUGAAGUCGUAACAAGGUACC